Molecule: ribosomal RNA, 465 nt
Filed under: Vreelandella stevensii
Lineage: Bacteria; Pseudomonadati; Pseudomonadota; Gammaproteobacteria; Oceanospirillales; Halomonadaceae
Description: partial 16S ribosomal RNA
Rfam family: Bacterial small subunit ribosomal RNA
Source: RNAcentral
CCUACGGGUAGCAGCAGUGGGGAAUAUUGGACAAUGGGCGAAAGCCUGAUCCAGCCAUGCCGCGUGUGUGAAGAAGGCCUUCGGGUUGUAAAGCACCUUCAGUGGGGAAGAAAGCCUUGGGGCUAAUACCCUCGAGGAAGGACAUCACCCACAGAAGAAGCACCGGCUAACUCCGUGCCAGCAGCCGCGGUAAUACGGAGGGUGCGAGCGUUAAUCGGAAUUACUGGGCGUAAAGCGCGCGUAGGCGGUCUGAUAAGCCGGUUGUGAAAGCCCCGGGCUCAACCUGGGAACGGCAUCCGGAACUGUCAGGCUAGAGUGCAGGAGAGGAAGGUAGAAUUCCCGGUGUAGCGGUGAAAUGCGUAGAGAUCGGGAGGAAUACCAGUGGCGAAGGCGGCCUUCUGGACUGACACUGACGCUGAGGUGCGAAAGCGUGGGUAGCAAACAGGAUUAGAUACCCCAGUAGUC